This 427-nucleotide ribosomal RNA is filed under the name uncultured bacterium. RNAcentral's name for it is "partial 16S ribosomal RNA". It matches the Rfam family "Bacterial small subunit ribosomal RNA", at positions 355 to 774 of the family's 1533-position model. The record is from RNAcentral.
UGGGGAAUAUUGGACAAUGGGCGAAAGCCUGAUCCAGCCAUGCCGCGUGUGUGAAGAAGGUCUUCGGAUUGUAAAGCACUUUAAGUUGGGAGGAAGGGCAUUAACCUAAUACGUUAGUGUUUUGACGUUACCGACAGAAUAAGCACCGGCUAACUCUGUGCCAGCAGCCGCGGUAAUACAGAGGGUGCAAGCGUUAAUCGGAAUUACUGGGCGUAAAGCGCGCGUAGGGGGUUUGUUAAGUUGGAUGUGAAAGCCCCGGGCUCAACCUGGGAACUGCAUCCAAAACUGGCAAGCUAGAGUACGGUAGAGGGUGGUGGAAUUUCCUGUGUAGCGGUGAAAUGCGUAGAUAUAGGAAGGAACACCAGUGGCGAAGGCGACCACCUGGACUGAUACUGACACUGAGGUGCGAAAGCGUGGGGAGCAAACA